UCCCAGGGCUCAACCCUGGAACUGCCUUUAAAACUGUUAGUCUUGAGAUCGAGAGAGGUGAGUGGAAUUCCAAGUGUAGAGGUGAAAUUCGUAGAUAUUUGGAGGAACACCAGUGGCGAAGGCGGCUCACUGGCUCGAUACUGACGCUGAGGUACGAAAGUGUGGGGAGCAAACAGGAUUAGAUACCCUGGUAGUCCACACCGUAAACGAUGAAUGCCAGACGUCAGCAAGCAUGCUUGUUGGUGUCACACCUAACGGAUUAAGCAUUCCGCCUGGGGAGUACGGUCGCAAGAUUAAAACUCAAAGGAAUUGACGGGGGCCCGCACAAGCGGUGGAGCAUGUGGUUUAAUUCGACGCAACGCGCAGAACCUUACCAACCCUUGACAUACUUGUCGCGGAUUCCAGAGAUGGAUUCCUUCAGUUCGGCUGGACAAUGUACAGGUGCUGCAUGGCUGUCGUCAGCUCGUGUCGUGAGAUGUUCGGUUAAGUCCGGCAACGAGCGCAACCCACGUCCUUAGUUACCAGCAUUUAGUUGGGUACCCUAAGGAGACUGCCGGUGAUAAGCCGGAGGAAGGUGUGGACGACGUCAAGUCAUCAUGGCCCUUACGGGUUGGGCUACACACGUGCUACAAUGGCAUCUACAGUGAGUUAAUCUCCAAAAGAUGUCUCAGUUCGGAUUGGGGUCUGCAACUCGACCCCAUGAAGUUGGAAUCGCUAGUAAUCGCGGAACAGCAUGCCGCGGUGAAUACGUUCCCGGGCCUUGUACACACCGCCCGUCACACCAUGGGAAUUGGGUCUACCCGAAGGUGGUGCGCCAACUAUUUAUAGGGGCAGCCAACC
RNAcentral lists this ribosomal RNA (840 nucleotides) under uncultured Paracoccaceae bacterium. RNAcentral describes it as "bacterial SSU rRNA". It matches the Rfam family "Bacterial small subunit ribosomal RNA", at positions 600 to 1458 of the family's 1533-position model. Lineage: Bacteria; Pseudomonadati; Pseudomonadota; Alphaproteobacteria; Rhodobacterales; Paracoccaceae. The record is from RNAcentral.